Tachysurus fulvidraco (yellow catfish) is the source of this 324-nucleotide long non-coding RNA. RefSeq lists it as uncharacterized. The transcript has 3 exons. Lineage: Eukaryota; Metazoa; Chordata; Actinopteri; Siluriformes; Bagridae. The record is from RefSeq and is a predicted model, not a curated record.
AAGUUUUACAGACCACCGACUGCUGGAGACACUCGUUUCCCUCACGGUGGGUGCGUCUCAAUCAGCUCCCUAGUUCGCUAGUCAGGACGCUGAUCAAGGAGUCGGCCAAUUUUACUGCAACAAACUGACUGGAGGGGAAAUUACAAGUUGUGUACGUGACGUACUGAUUUAUCAGCUGAUUGCGACACAAUCCAUGUUUGCAGGGCAAAGUCACAGUACGAGUUAGCAACAGAUGCUUCGUUCCAACAAGAGGAUGAUUCAAGUGCACUUCAAGUAUCCGGAUGAUUCACUUACUAAACUGAAUAAAAUGUGGGACGUUGGACA